AUGAACGCUGGCGGCGUGCCUAAUACAUGCAAGUCGAGCGAACAGACGAGGAGCUUGCUCCUCUGACGUUAGCGGCGGACGGGUGAGUAACACGUGGAUAACCUACCUAUAAGACUGGGAUAACUUCGGGAAACCGGAGCUAAUACCGGAUAAUAUAUUGAACCGCAUGGUUCAAUAGUGAAAGACGGUUUUGCUGUCACUUAUAGAUGGAUCCGCGCCGCAUUAGCUAGUUGGUAAGGUAACGGCUUACCAAGGCAACGAUGCGUAGCCGACCUGAGAGGGUGAUCGGCCACACUGGAACUGAGACACGGUCCAGACUCCUACGGGAGGCAGCAGUAGGGAAUCUUCCGCAAUGGGCGAAAGCCUGACGGAGCAACGCCGCGUGUGUGAUGAAGGUCUUCGGAUCGUAAAACUCUGUUAUUAGGGAAGAACAAAUGUGUAAGUAACUAUGCACGUCUUGACGGUACCUAAUCAGAAAGCCACGGCUAACUACGUG
This 496-nucleotide ribosomal RNA is filed under the name uncultured bacterium. RNAcentral describes it as "partial 16S ribosomal RNA". It matches the Rfam family "Bacterial small subunit ribosomal RNA", at positions 29 to 507 of the family's 1533-position model. The record is from RNAcentral.